ACGCCUGCCCAGUGAACAAUUAAACGGCCGCGGUACACUAACCGUGCAAAGGUAGCAUAAUAAUUUGUCUACUAAUUAUAGACCUGCAUGAAAGGCAAAAUGAGGGCUUGACUGUCUCUUAUAGUAAAUCAAUUAAACUGAUCUCCUAGUAAAAAAGCUAGAAUUACCACAUAAGACCAGAAGACCCUGUGAAGCUUAAACUAAACUAUUAAACCAAAUAAUAACUACUUUAGGUUGGGGCGACCUUGGAAAAAGAAUAACUUCCAAACUACACAAAGGCCGACAAGCCAAUAAACGACCCAGCAACGCUGAAAAUUGAACCAAGUUACUCCAGGGAUAACAGCGCAAUCUUCUUCAAGAGCCCAUAUCAAAAAGAAGGUUUACGACCUCGAUGUUGGAUCAGGACAUCCUAAUGGUGCAGAAGCUAUUAAGGGUUCGUUUGUUCAACGAUUAAUNGUCCUACGUGAUCUG
Molecule: ribosomal RNA, 471 nt
Filed under: Ahaetulla flavescens
Lineage: Eukaryota; Metazoa; Chordata; Lepidosauria; Squamata; Colubridae
Description: partial large subunit ribosomal RNA
Rfam family: Bacterial large subunit ribosomal RNA
Source: RNAcentral